RNAcentral lists this long non-coding RNA (199 nucleotides) under Nicotiana benthamiana. RNAcentral's name for it is "long non-coding RNA (NBEN_LNC021531)". The record is from RNAcentral. Lineage: Eukaryota; Viridiplantae; Streptophyta; Magnoliopsida; Solanales; Solanaceae.
UACCUCUAACCUCUCAAUAACACCGACCCUCGUCUCGUCUAUCAAGACUAUAUCAUCAGCAAAUAGCAUACACCAAGGCACAUUCCCUUGAAUAUGUUUGGUUAGAGCAUCCAUCACCAAGGCAAACAAGAGAGGGCCAAGCGCCGAUCCUUAAUGGAGCCCCAUAACCACUGGAAAAUGGUCUGAGUCGCCACCCACC